UACGUAGGCAGCGAGCGUUGUUCGGAGUUACUGGGCGUAAAGAGUGCGUAGCCGGUUUUCUAAGUUUGGUGUGAAAUCUCCCGGCUCAACUGGGAGGGUGCGCCGAAGACUGGAAGGCUUGAGUAUGGGAGAGGUAAGCGGAAUUCCUGGUGUAGCGGUGAAAUGCGUAGAUAUCAGGAGGAACACCUGCGGUGUAGACGGCUUACUGGACCAUAACUGACGCUGAGGCACGAAAGCGUGGGUAGCAAACAGG
RNAcentral lists this ribosomal RNA (253 nucleotides) under uncultured bacterium. RNAcentral's name for it is "partial 16S ribosomal RNA". It matches the Rfam family "Bacterial small subunit ribosomal RNA", at positions 524 to 776 of the family's 1533-position model. The record is from RNAcentral.